AUCAGAGACUGAACAUGACAAAUACGCCCAUCGAUAUAUUCCUUGGAGGUACACAUCAGCAACCUUGUUAAGUAAGAAGUUAUGCAUGUAUGUCUUCAUUCUCUCCAUGUUGAUGCAACCCGUACAAACACAGAGAUGAAAGAGGAAAAAGAUAAACAAGAGGAACAAGCUGAAAGACAUAAAAGUGUUAAGAUUUAUGUACAUUUCCAUAAAUUCAAUUCUAAAUUAAACUGUUCUUUUAUUUCCUCUCUUUUUAGAGUAGUUUAACUCCCAUUCUGUCCGUUUUUUAUCCUUAUGUCAAGAAAGGUUCGGUGCUUGUUUCAUCUGAAUCAUUUUAUAUAGGUAUAAUGGUUAGAUAAAUUUGACCAACACUUACUAGAAUAGUUUGAUUUUUAAGAAUGUAUUUAAAGUUCAUUUCUCUAUAACAGAGCAAUUAUCUCAAAGUACGUGGCAAUAGCUGGCAUUAGCUGCUCAGCAUAAUUUACAAUAUACUGAGAAGACAAAAAUUGAUGCCUGUUUUCUUUUUUUAUAGCAAUUUUUGUAAUGAAAUAUUUUCUUUCACACUUCCUAAGAAAGUAGCUUUCAUAAGCAUUCUGAAGUGCCAUCCUCAAACAAAGGAUUUAUAAGCCAAUUGAAGGAACAUGCUUACUGUAAAAUAAAUGAGUGGCUUUUUUAUGAAGGGGAGCAUAACAUGCCUUUUCAUUUGAUGAGCUCUAAAAGAAUCAUUUGGAACAUAUGACGAUUUUGGCAAGACAGCAACCUGUGCAACUUACCUGCUGAGUGACUGAAAACUAAGAAUAAAUAAUAUCAUGUUCUUCCUAGGUACUGUAGAAAAGAUUGCCUAAAUACAGGACUACAUGCCAAAAGUGGAGCUUGACCAGAGUUUGGUACCAAAAUGUUCACAGAGAAAUGCUGAUUCAAAACUUUUGAAGUCCAAGCCUGAGGGUGCCAGUGCUCCAAAACCUGCUGAUUUAUUUUCUUCUUUCAAGCAUUUUGAGUCGCACCUCUGCUCGUCCUUGGUACUAUCCCAGGCCUCAUUGAACAGAGCAGAUAAAUUGCUUCAGAUCCUGAUCUCAGCAAAUCCUACCACUGCGUAUGGGUCGCUAAGCAUACGAGUAGCUUUUUUUCCCCCGCACGCUACAUGUCUUGAAUUCCUGUAUGCUUUAAUUAUUUUAAGGAUUAACCAUUAAAUUGUACUCGAUGGGAGAAUUACAUAUGCAGAAAAUUAGAGAUUUUCCUCUCUGUCUCCAGCACAUCUAAGCACUUUUUCAAAAGGAAAGAUAGCAAUGGUAUGGAUAUUUGGGACCUGAGCAAAUACUGUGAUUUCAUCUUCAGAGUACAGUGUAUUCUGAGUCCUAAAUGAAACACAAAGAUGCAGAAAAGAUAUGUGCACCUAUUGUCAAGCAUAGGUAGUGUCUUCUGUAAAAUUAAAGGCCAAAAUCAUAUUCACACUUUCUAGUCUUUGAAUGUUUGAUGUUGCGACUUUACAUACACUUUUACUUUAGUAUUCUUUAUGUAGCAUAUUCCUAAGGAUACAGGAUGUUUGGGCUGAAAUGGAUUUCUUGGGACAAUGUUCACACUGUGCUCAUGACCUGGGUUGGUAUUCAAGGCUGCAUCUGCAACAUUUUCUGCAUACAAAGAAAGGAAGAAACGAUAUGUAGCAAAGCCACUAUGAGUUUCUAAUCAUUUGCAUACCUGAUAAAUGCUGUUAAUAUACUCUCAAAAAUAAAAUGUGUUUUCCAGCUGUUGAUUGCUGGUUG
This is a long non-coding RNA of Struthio camelus australis, 1760 nucleotides long. Lineage: Eukaryota; Metazoa; Chordata; Aves; Struthioniformes; Struthionidae. The record is from Ensembl.